GCAAGAUGAAAGCAGAGCGACAGAGAUGUCUCUCAAAAGGCAUUCAUUGUUUAAUGAUGGCGUGGAGCAAAAUAUGCCUCCUGUAAGAGGGUCCAAUUGCUCUGUUCCACUCAUUUGGAACUCAACAUCUACAGGAAAGUGGAGGUCUUCAAAGUGUAACAAGCCACGAGACUAUCGUGAAUGGGACAAGUUCGACGUGGAAAAAGAAUGUCAGAAAAUUGAUGGCGGCCUUGUCGAAAACAUUCGGCCUGCGAUUAUAAACACAGAACGCCCCAAAGCUGAAGUGGAUCCUUCAUGUAACACAUUAAGUUUUUGCAGCUCCUUCAGCCUUUUGUUGACAUGUGAGUACAACAACUAGCGAUGUUUCAUAACCAUACUGUACAUCCAGUGCUGACCACAGAGGAAAAACUUCUUCUGGCAAAGCGUGAGAAAGACAAAGGCAAUGAAGCUUUCAGAGCGAAUGAUUAUGAAGAGGCAAUUGCAUACUACUCCAGAAGCAUAUGCAUUAUGCCUAUGGUGGCUGCAUACAACAACAGAGCCCAGGCAGCGAUUAAGCUGAAGCGUUGGACUAGCGCCAUGAGGGAUUGCAACCACAUAUUGGAGCUCGAACCCUGCAACG
This is a long non-coding RNA of Nerophis ophidion (straightnose pipefish), 619 nucleotides long. RefSeq lists it as uncharacterized. The transcript has 4 exons. Lineage: Eukaryota; Metazoa; Chordata; Actinopteri; Syngnathiformes; Syngnathidae. The record is from RefSeq and is a predicted model, not a curated record.